UCAAUCGUGCUGUGAUGAAAC
Molecule: non-coding RNA, 21 nt
Filed under: Arabidopsis thaliana (thale cress)
Lineage: Eukaryota; Viridiplantae; Streptophyta; Magnoliopsida; Brassicales; Brassicaceae
Source: RNAcentral